UGAAGUAUAUCAACAAUAGCGCGCCU
This 26-nucleotide small RNA is filed under the name Bombyx mori (domestic silkworm). Its description in RNAcentral is "piRNA piR-bmo-2077619". Lineage: Eukaryota; Metazoa; Arthropoda; Insecta; Lepidoptera; Bombycidae. The record is from RNAcentral.